Gavia stellata (red-throated loon) is the source of this 372-nucleotide long non-coding RNA. RefSeq lists it as uncharacterized. The transcript has 2 exons. Lineage: Eukaryota; Metazoa; Chordata; Aves; Gaviiformes; Gaviidae. The record is from RefSeq and is a predicted model, not a curated record.
UUGGUGCUCCUCUCCAGUGUUUCUCUACUGUCCUUGGCUUUUAGGAUGUUGUGGACAGGAUUGCAUGUUGCAACUUUCUGGGGGCUGGAUACCUGCUUCUCAUCUUUUGGCUGAAGAGGCUAUCAGAUCAGCUUUGCUCUUCCGCUGUGGCUGCACCAUUGUUCUUCACUAUUGUGUGCCCCAACAGCACCGAAGCACUCGGAGUGUAUGAAAAGCACCUUUAUAAUUCUGCAGCCAGAGAAAUAGCAAUGUGUCUGCCACAGGAACCCCGCUGCUGGGUCCCCUUCAUGCAGGUGGGGCAAGAGCACCACCAGCUCCCGGAAUAAAAGCAACAGACAUCCUGGACUGUGAUAUAACCGGUUUGUAAGUAGG